Molecule: long non-coding RNA, 864 nt
Organism: Hermetia illucens (black soldier fly)
Lineage: Eukaryota; Metazoa; Arthropoda; Insecta; Diptera; Stratiomyidae
Exons: 2
Source: RefSeq, a predicted model, not a curated record
GCAAGCAUACAAAUAUAUCGGACAUACGUACGCAAAUCUUUAUCACUUAUGAGCACAUUUUCCUGAUAAACUGGCCAAUUUAUGCCGAGAGGAUAAUGGACGAAGGUCGACAUCUUAUAUAAUGUGCCAAUUGUGCCAUGAAAUCGCUGCUGAAUGAGCUAAAUGAUCAGUGGGUAUUGAAUGCUAUUGAAAUUCAUAUUGGAAUAAUUAAGAAAACCUGCGUAGCGAAAUCUUAUAAAGCGCGAUUGAUAGAUGCGAAAAUAACGAACAACGUAUUGUGUUUACUACUAUCAAAGGAAUUUCCUUUGGCCUCUGAGAAGAAGCUGCUGACAAAGCUUUGGAAUUAAAGCGAAACCUGUUCGCAACAUUCAAUGAUCCUUUAAUAAGCGAGAUCACGAUAGGCUGGAUAAGGGAUUAGUUGAUAGAAGAUGCCCUCGAAGAAUUCAACACUCGGCAGCAUCGCACAGUUUGAAGUCCAUCGUCGCUCGGAUAGACCCAAAUACUUUGCAGACGAGCUGCGAAAACCAGUUUUGCAAAUUCCAGUCUUUUGAUAGAUCAAUUGUUUAUGGUGAAUAGCGAAUAAAAGACGGGUACCAUCCUAAUCGGCAAAUUUAAGAGGAGAUAGUACUGCUGCGAAUGGAAUUUUACGUAGUCGAGUUGCCUCGAGAGAUCUGUAACUUUUACGUAUAUUCAAAUGCCUAAAAAUGAUGUAGACAUGUCUGACGUUAAUUGAGCUGUGAAUUUUAUUAUAAUCUAAAGAAUUCUGAUGCGUAAUGUUAUUGGCAUGAUUUAUACAGACUCAAUCAAUAUAAACGUGUACAAUAUUUAAAAUUAAAGAAAGCUAUCAUUGGUUCAUUUAAAAUA